Molecule: ribosomal RNA, 208 nt
Filed under: uncultured bacterium
Lineage: Bacteria
Description: partial 16S ribosomal RNA
Rfam family: Bacterial small subunit ribosomal RNA
Source: RNAcentral
UGCGUAGGUGGUAAGGUAAGUCAGGUGUGAAAUCUCCGGGCUCAACCCGGAAAUGGCAUUCGAUACUACCUUGCUAGAGGGUUUGAGGGGGGACGUGGAAUACUUGGUGUAGCAGUGAAAUGCGUAGAUAUCAAGUGGAACACCAGUGGCGAAGGCGAGUCCCUGGAAAACUCCUGACACUGAGGCACGAAAGCUAGGGGAGCAAACA